RNAcentral lists this long non-coding RNA (2227 nucleotides) under Marmota monax (woodchuck). The record is from RNAcentral. Lineage: Eukaryota; Metazoa; Chordata; Mammalia; Rodentia; Sciuridae.
AGACCUCUAAUCUGCCCUGUAAUGUCCUAGUGUCUGGUAGUCAGAGAAGCUGACACAAGAAACAGGGAUCCCUGCUGCUCAUCCAGAAUCCAGAGAGAAUAUUCUACUGAAAUUAAAGAGUGCCCAACCCUGGGGUCCUCAGAGCUGUGCAGAAGGCCUGAGGUUGCAUUCUGAAGCUGCCCAUGGACUCUAGUACUCACCAGGUGAUUCUCCCCUUCCCCUGCCUCCAUGUGUCACCUGCAGGAGACAAUGAAUGAUGCACUUUUAUGACUUCCAAAUGUCAAGUAAUUGCCUCCGCUAAGACAUUCUAUAGGAAAUUAAUAAACACCCAUGUUCUGAUCCUGAGAUUCUAGGAAUAUUACCUUACAUCAACAAAGGGAGUUGGGAUUACAUUAAAGAUUCACGACCUGGAGAUUUUCCUGAAUAUUCUGCAGGAGAGCAAUAUAAUCACUAGGGCCCGGAGAGUGGGAAGGAAGGAUGGUCACAAUCAGGGGGUGGGACUAUGGUGAGAGGUCUUGAGAGAUGGAUGAAGGGCCAGGAGAAGGAAAUGAGAGAACCUAGGAGCUGGAAAGCCUGGAGCUGGAUUCUCUCCUCAGGCGCCUGCAGAAGGCACGCACCCAGCCCUCCUGCCCUGGUUUCAGCUCACUGGAAAUCUGAGCCCGAGGACCCUGAGAUAACCAGCUGUGCUGUUCUAAGCCUGGGAGGUGAUGGUGGUCUGUGGGGGCAGCAGUAGGGAACUGAUGCAAGGGAAGGGACAGAGACACCCUGGCAUUGGCCAUUCACUGCCCCACCAAACAUUGUCACAUUCCUGUCACUUGGUUUCUACUUUGACAUGAGGCAGAAAAACUUUUACCCUAAGAACAGAUCUAUCCAGAGCUCUUCUGAGGUAGAAAUACCUAGAUAAAUCUUCCCCCACGUGGGGUCUACUCACAGCACCAGAGGAGAGAGGAGGGUUUUGCUUGCUCUCUGCUCAUUGGUCUCCAUGUCAGGGGUAUGGAUUAGAUUCACAGGGGAGAGUGAGAGGGGAUGACUGAGUCAGCACUGGGGACAGAGGGCAGGAGGGAGGGUCAGGCACUACAACACACAUCCCUGCUCACAUCUGGAAUGAAGGCAGGUAGGGUAGGGAAGGCUGUAGGAUGUGUUUUGCAGAAGAGCCUGCAGAGUCCUGAGUUUCAGGUCAGGUCAGUAGGGAGUGGGCAGAUGCAGGAAGAGCUGAGAUUCCCUGUCUUCAGUUUGGAUCCUCUCCUCCCACCUCACAGGCCAUGCUGCACCUUUGGGAAGACUGUGACCACGUGGAAGAAAUGCAUCUAAAUUCAGACAGACCUGGGUUCAGAGCUAGCCCCAGCCCUCAUAGUCCACGUGACAUUGUUGAUCCCACUGUGCUGGGAUGACUGGUUCCCUCCUCUGUAGAAAGCCACAACAAAAAUAUCAGAGGGGGACCUGGGAUAAAGCAAAUGACUCACCUGAAAUAUGAUGCUAUAAAUAUACAGUCACAGAGUCUGCAUUAAUUCCCUCUGAAUAUCUUAAAUUGAGGAUACUCUGUGAUGUCCCAGUAGUGAGAUGUCUUCACUCACCACGGUUCCUUCUACAGAAAGCAGGUGCCUCUCUGCACUGUGGGAUUCCAUGUGCUGUAUAUCCAGCACUUUAGUGUCCACCGUCCAUUCCUGUGGAGCACUAGGAUGUUGAUGAGGACACCGGCAGCCAUAGUCUGGUGUUCCCUGGGCCCCAUGGUAUGAGUUCCCAACACCUGCUGUAAACACUUACCAGAGAUUGGAGGUCACAAUGAAGCCAGAUUUAAAGUUAGGUAGUCAGUGUAGUUAGGUAAAUCGGGUCUAAUAUAGAGUAACAUCCAAAAUGGAGGCCAUGUUGAGAAUGAAUUCAGGGAAAAGCAGAACAACUCUUGGAAUGUUAAUGAAGUUCGGGAAAAGCCCAAGGCCCAGAGCCCAACCCAAAGAAGUGUUAAUGAAACAGCUCCCAAUAAACUUGAAGAUGCUGACUCAAAAGUCCUUCCUGCCCAGAUUACUCCUUUGGCUCACCUGUGCCCAACCCUUAACAGAACAAAGGACAGGAAUGUGACAGGAAUAAAAGAAGGCCUAAACUAUAAAAUAGAGAGACAACUGCACUUCUGCAGAUUCCAUCUCGUGGGUCCCUUUCUUCCUCUGGGAGAAGUCUUUUCUGUGUCCUUUAAUAAACUUCCACUUUCCACUCUGACCUUGCCUCAAUGUGC